AUCCCGCCUGUGUCCACCCCCUGUGCUCCUCCUGUGUCCAUCCCGCCUGUGUCCACCCCGCCUGUGUCCACCUCCCUUACUCCACCAGUGUCUGGCCUCCAGAAGAAAAGAAAAUCAUGUAGGAAUGCAGACAUUAGUGAAUGCCCCAUUCAUCAAGGUCUAAGCGUUUUCCCCUACAAAAGGAUUCUGAGGCAAAGACUCAGAGAGGGUUGUGUCGAGGUGUUGGUGGAGUGGCAACCUUGCUCUGGAUGUGGAGCAAAGUGGAAAAACUCCUGGGAGCCCAAAGACAAUGUUCUUCCUUAAAAAAAAUUGUU
This is a long non-coding RNA of Melanotaenia boesemani (Boeseman's rainbowfish), 314 nucleotides long. RefSeq lists it as uncharacterized. The record is from RefSeq and is a predicted model, not a curated record. Lineage: Eukaryota; Metazoa; Chordata; Actinopteri; Atheriniformes; Melanotaeniidae. The transcript has 4 exons.